UCAAAAGUGGGUGUUUAACUGAUAGCAAAGAUUUACUGAAAUUUAAUUCCACUUUUUCCUUUAAAAAAAAUGUCCGCUACUGACCUGUCUGAAAUAAUUAAAUUAUGCAAUUAUCAAGUUUGUUCUGGUUGAGUGAUAAGUGUCAAAGGAUUUCCUUACAUUUAGAGAAAUUAUUGUAAAUGUGUAAAUUUAGUAAUAUUUCUGUUAUAAUUGAUUUAAAUUUGCGUGAGGAGUAAUGGCAGUUGCACCUAACCUCACUUUGGUGCAAACGUCAGGUAUUGGGGGUCCCCCAAGUGUUAGAAACCGAGCUACUCGCCUAUUUUGUUGAUAAGAUCUAUACACUGCGAGAUAUGGGGAAACUGCAGAAUCUUCCUCCACUUUUUGCUCUUGCCUUUAUUACUAUCGGAACCACCUGCCGAAGAAGAAGAAGAAGAAAAUCGUUGAUUUGGAGUGUUUGAAUGCGUUCGAUGUGUGACCUUACCCUCUCUCGCUUUUAGAUAGACUGUGUUGGCGACGAUAUUUUCCAAUUCCAUGAGUUCCAGUUUGGUGGUUGUUUUUACCCGGGGGGUCGGGUCGUGAACGACCCGUUUCCAUUAAUUAUGGGGGUGGUUGGGGGUCGGGCUGAUGCACUUGCACCCUCGAUGCGCACCCAAGGGGAUGCUGCCGCCACUUCGGGGUGUGUCUGCGACCCUUGGAAUGCCACCCUGAUGCACUCAAAGACGACUUUCUCAACAAAUUUCACCGACUUUACUAGGUACACACAGCUACCGACACGCGUCUAUCCACCGAACAGAGCGACACCACAACGAAGAGGACGAAAACAGAACUACGGAGAGGUUCACACGAGGAGGCGAUGCGGCGGUGGUGACGCUCGGGUGGGGAUCCAAACGAUCGAUCUUCAAAUGAAAAACCAAAAAUCUCGCAGAUUUUUUUCUAUGGAAGAGCAAAACAACUAAGACAAACUACAAGCUACAUGACCAAGAAUUGUAGAUUUAAUAAAAUUUUGAUGAGAAAUCUUCAAAUAUACCCAAAAUGUAAUUUGUUAUACCUAUCAAAAAAUAAAUAAACUAUACCUACAA
Molecule: long non-coding RNA, 1079 nt
Organism: Tribolium castaneum (red flour beetle)
Lineage: Eukaryota; Metazoa; Arthropoda; Insecta; Coleoptera; Tenebrionidae
Exons: 2
Source: RefSeq, a predicted model, not a curated record